RNAcentral lists this long non-coding RNA (235 nucleotides) under Sinocyclocheilus anshuiensis. RNAcentral's name for it is "lncRNA (ENSSANG00000000599.1)". The record is from RNAcentral. Lineage: Eukaryota; Metazoa; Chordata; Actinopteri; Cypriniformes; Cyprinidae.
GACCUUCAGUGUCUCGGGAUUGUGGCACGCUUCGUCUUCAUUCUCAGAUUCUCCUGAUUAUCUUUUUGAGUGUGUUGGGAGGCAUCACAUGUGGAGCGCUGGCUCUUAUGCUCUCCUCUCUUCUCCACCUCUACAGGGUACUUCGAUUACAGAUGACAGAGAGAUCACUGAGCCACAUGUUGAACCUGGUAUAAAUGUCUUAUUUUACAUCAUUGAUACAUUUUUGAGAUUCUAG